CUGUUAAAUGCCAGGAGCUUAGUGAAAGCAGCCACAUUUUGAACUGAAGAGCUCCCAGGCUAUGUGCGCAAGUGAGACAGCGUGAGGUGGCAUUUGCUCCUGCUGGAACUUCGGCUCCUAAAAUCCCAGCCAGAUCAGCAACUACAACAUCAUGAGCAAGGAUACAAACACUUUAUCUGUCAGAAGUAAAAGUGCAUCAGAAGAAACACUGUACCAUCAAAACGAAGAAGGCAUGGCUCUCCAAGGAACGGACCAGUAUCGUGUUAGGAGGUUGUCCUGUCGUAACCUCCAGCUUCCUCCUUUGGCAUUUAGACAGCUGGAGCAGGUAGACUGGGACAAAAAGGCUGACCCAGAGAUGGUGCAGAGGCCCACCAACCUUCCACUGAAAACUCUCCCUCUAAUUGCUAUUACUGCUGCGGAGACUGACAGGUAAACCUUGAUUUGGAAGCCUGUGCUUUGGCAGCCAUGUUCCUGGUUGCAUGUGAUAAAAACUUUUGACUCUUAAUCAUGGAGCAAAUUAAGGCAGUUUGCCUCUAAUGAAAGGCAUCUUAAAAAUAUAUUAAUAUAAAAGCGGUUUUAAAAUAGUCAUUUUGGUAAGAGGGGCAGAAAAGAGAAGCAAAAGAUGCAGGGUUAAAAAAAAUCAAAACAAAACACCAUCAUUUAUGCUACCUAGUUCUCUGGUUAAUGCUGAGAACACGGUACAAGAAUAAAUUGAGUUUAAAAAGAUUAACUAUUUCUUUGCCUUCCCUCUCCACUAAUGCUUUAUGUGUGGUGUAAAACAGGAGCAGGGAGACUGUAAUCCACAAAAGCUUGUUGAACUCUUAAGUCCAAAUGGCCCUAGCCAGCAUAGCCAAUGUUGAGGAGCAUUGAGUUUUAUAAUUCAGUUUUUGGAAAGUUCACUUGUCUCAUUUGAAACAAAUUCAGUGGUUUGGAAAAGCCAUGUGACUCCAUUUUCCUAGAACUGUAUCAUCCAGAGAGUUUAAAUGCUCCUCCCUAUCAAAACUAAGACAACUGUAUCCAUGACUCUUAAUGCCUUCUUAAAUCAUCACUUCAGAUUGGCAGAUAAUCUGCUUCUUGGAAGUAUAGUUUAAACUGGCUACCAGACAUGGUGACAGCAUGUUAUCUAUAUUAUGCCUGAGUGGCUGGGAUUACUAUAGAUGGGGGGAACGCUACCAAGAGAGAUGAUAAAGACAAGGAUUAUCCAUCACAGGGACAGCUAUCAUGCACAUUCACCUGUACUAUUGAAGAUAGCCUAACGUCAUAUAGCCUCUGAGCUAAAAUGCAUAUGGCUGGGCAGGUGCUGGGUAGCUGGUUAAACCAGAUAGAAGCGACCCAUUUUUUUCCAUUCCUGUUCACAAGUCUGGUUGUGAUUCCCAUUGUUGAACUGAUCUCAUAAGUCAGGAAUAUUUAUAGCUAUGGCAAAGACACAGAGUUGCAUAUUCUUUGUUAAGCUCAGUACCUCCUCUUGAUGUGGGAGAAAGAGGAAGCAUCAGCACAAAAUAUUAAAUAUGUCUAUCACACUUGAGGAUUCCUAAAACAAGACACAGAUGAAGGAGUUUAAAUUUGAAAAUAUACAUCUGAGAAGUAUGAUGAAUUACAUAUGAGAUCACUCCAGCCAAUCUGUAGAAUAGCAAAAUGCUGAAGGAAAUAUUAUAGAUUAAUGCGAGAAAAAUAUUGUAUACAACUGAUGAGUGAAUAGAAGCUAGUAUUACAUUUUGAAGAAAGGAAUGCACUGCACAUAAAAUUAAUAUGUUUCUCCAGGGAAGUCAAAACAACAUUUUAUUAAAAGGGGAUAUGCUGAUUGCCACAGAUGUGUUGGGAGAGGUGACACAUGCAAAGCUUCUCACAGCAUGCAAAUCUUGCCGCAUAUCACAGAAAAUG
Long non-coding RNA from Candoia aspera, 1881 nucleotides. RefSeq lists it as uncharacterized. The transcript has 3 exons. NCBI's taxonomy places the organism in Eukaryota, Metazoa, Chordata, Lepidosauria, Squamata, Candoiidae. The record is from RefSeq and is a predicted model, not a curated record.